GGGUCAAACUGAAAAUAUUUUCAGUGUUGAUCGUAAAAUAAGGGACCCAAGGCGUAAAACAAAUUCCGUUCUCAUUUUCACUUCAAACAAUUUCCGUCUGAGCUCUCUCACACGCACUCGAAGCAGCAAGUGCUCUCCAAGCUCAGUCACACCGAGCUCCACCAUCUCCCUCAUGCCAAACGCUUAAGAUCCUCUCCCUCACACAGCCGAUCCUCUCCACGCACAUAAUGUCAAAGGGCAAAAAGAAAGUGAGCAGCAGCAAGCAGUUCAGGUGGCUGCCGCCCAUGCACUCAACGAUGCUUAGGCUACUUGCGCAGGAGGCUGCAAAGGGCAACAAGCCGUCUAGCACUUUCAAGGCAGGCUCCUUUGCUCUUGUAGCGAAGGAGACAACUGCCCAAUUUGGGGUUGAGUGGCACCCCUCUUAUGUUGAAAAUCGGAUGCGGACUCUAAGGACCAUGUGGUUCAUUAUUCAGACUAUUAGAAAGAAGAGUGACUUUGGCUAGGAUGAUAACCUAAAAACGAUAACAUGCGACGCGAAGACAUACCAAGAAGAAGUCAUGGUAUGGCUUCCAACUAUAUUUUCUUAAUAUAAAUGAUAAUAUAUGUUUUUGCCUUUUAUAAUCUAUGAAUUGAGAACAAGACAAGGUUGCUCAAGUACCCUCUUUAUAUGAAAUUUAUAGUGUCAUUCUUUUUAGGAUUCCAUUGCUUUUAUAAAGUUUUUCAAAUAUAACUUUCAUGCGCGGAUCUAUUGUAAAAUCUGGUCUUAGAUUUGUACAUUGUAUUUUCUGUUGUACUUAUCUUCAAAAUCAUGAGUUAUGUCUUCUCUUCCCUAACAAAUUUUUCUGUUUAUCAUUGACCUAAAUCAUUUAAUGACAUCUAUAUUGAAUUUAUGAGUGAAGUGAUUAUUGUAUUGUUAUUAUACGUUCCUUUCUCCCUUACAGGCGCAUCGAAAGCAUGCAGAGUAUCUAAACAAAAAAAUUGAGAUAUAUGAUGAAUUAGCUAUUGUUGUGGGGAAGGAGACAGCCAUGGGUGGCUUUUCUAAGUUCUAUGUGGAUAUUGAGAAUGAGCCAGACAAUGGGGACAGUGCUGAGUUUGUUACAAACAAUAUGGAGUAAGGUGUGGUCGAGAAAGGGAAGAAUGUAGUCGAGUCAUCCACCAUUGGGUUGGGAAUUUCCAAGUCCCGCAAAAGAGGGCGUGAACCUUCUAAUGCUGAUGAUAAUGUGCUAACUGAUCUAUCUGAUCAGCUGAAGGAAAUAGCUGUGGCUCUGAAAGAAAUCAACGGGGACCCGGUGGAUUACACAGUUCUUUACAAUGAGGUCAUGGCUAUGAUGGCGGAUAGGUAUAGCAAAGACAUGCUUGCAACUGCGUUUGACCAUCUUUGUGAAAAUGAGAAGGCAGCAUGGGGAUUUCUAGCCAAGAAUGCUAGGCUGAGAAAGAUGUGGUUGGGUGGUUUUUUGUACUCACAACUUUGACUUGUCUAUUUCAUGUUAAUUCUGACGGUAGCUUUAGGAAUUAACUUUUGUUGUAGUACUAGUGUUGACCUACCAUUGUAUUAUAUAUGUAGUCUUUUGUAUUAUUGGGACGAUAUAAUUGCCCAAAUUAUGUAUUUGUACUAUUCAUAUACCACGAGUAGGUAUCAUUUUUGUACACCAUGGAGGUGUAAUGCCAAUGGUGAAUGAUUGAUGUGGCUGUUUUUAUAUAAAUAUUAUGGGUAUAUUCAAAUGAUUA
This is a long non-coding RNA of Quercus robur (English oak), 1728 nucleotides long. RefSeq lists it as uncharacterized. The record is from RefSeq and is a predicted model, not a curated record. NCBI's taxonomy places the organism in Eukaryota, Viridiplantae, Streptophyta, Magnoliopsida, Fagales, Fagaceae. The transcript has 2 exons.